This 76-nucleotide transfer RNA is filed under the name Clostridioides difficile. Its description in RNAcentral is "tRNA-Met(cat)". It matches the Rfam family "tRNA". Rfam says of the family: Transfer RNA (tRNA) molecules are approximately 80 nucleotides in length. Their secondary structure includes four short double-helical elements and three loops (D, anti-codon, and T loops). Further hydrogen bonds mediate the characteristic L-shaped molecular structure. tRNAs have two regions of fundamental functional importance: the anti-codon, which is responsible for specific mRNA codon recognition, and the 3' end, to which the tRNAs corresponding amino acid is attached (by aminoacyl-tRNA synthetases). tRNAs cope with the degeneracy of the genetic code in two manners: having more than one tRNA (with a specific anti-codon) for a particular amino acid; and 'wobble' base-pairing, i.e. permitting non-standard base-pairing at the 3rd anti-codon position. RNAcentral also lists the same sequence under 1 other name. Lineage: Bacteria; Bacillati; Bacillota; Clostridia; Peptostreptococcales; Peptostreptococcaceae. The record is from RNAcentral.
CGCGGGGUGGAGCAGUUGGCAGCUCGUCGGGCUCAUAACCCGAAGGUCGUAGGUUCGAGUCCUGCCUCCGCAACCA